This 440-nucleotide ribosomal RNA is filed under the name uncultured bacterium. Its description in RNAcentral is "bacterial SSU rRNA". It matches the Rfam family "Bacterial small subunit ribosomal RNA", at positions 958 to 1397 of the family's 1533-position model. The record is from RNAcentral.
AACGCGAAGAACCUUACCUGGGCUCGAAGCGCAGUGGAAUCCGGUGGAAACAUCGGCGCCCCUUAAAAGGCUGCUGCGGAGGUGCUGCAUGGCUGUCGUCAGCUCGUGUCGUGAGAUGUUGGGUUAAGUCCCGCAACGAGCGCAACCCUUAUCGUUAGUUGCCAGCGGGUUAUGCCGGGCACUCUAGCGAAACCGCCCCGGAUAACGGGGAGGAAGGUGGGGAUGACGUCAAGUCCUCAUGGCCUUUAUGUCCAGGGCUACACACGUGCUACAAUGGCGGUGACAAUGGGCAGCUAACUCGCGAGAGCAAGCUAAUCCCAAAAAACCGUCCCAGUUCAGAUUGUACUCUGCAACUCGAGUACAUGAAGGUGGAAUCGCUAGUAAUCGCAGAACAGCAGGCUGCGGUGAAUACGUUCCCGGGCCUUGUACACACCGACAUA